This 46-nucleotide non-coding RNA is filed under the name Schistosoma mansoni. Lineage: Eukaryota; Metazoa; Platyhelminthes; Trematoda; Strigeidida; Schistosomatidae. The record is from RNAcentral.
GCACUGCUGUGGAGUCCCACGAUAGGACGAAACGGCCGUCCAGUGC